This 2224-nucleotide long non-coding RNA is filed under the name Sus scrofa (pig). RNAcentral's name for it is "lncRNA (ENSSSCG00030008864.1)". Lineage: Eukaryota; Metazoa; Chordata; Mammalia; Artiodactyla; Suidae. The record is from RNAcentral.
CUCGCAACGCAGAGACUCAUACAGAGCUAAUAACUACCCAACCACCAGCUAUGCCCCCAAACACACAGAACAUGCUCCACAACACGUCUGUGAGCCUCACAACGCCUAGCCUGUCCUUAAUACCCACCUCAGCCUACGAUGUCACACAUGCUCCAUGGCAGGCCUCCCACCCUAGCCCGUGCAGCGGUAUCGCAACGCAGAGAUGUGCCUCGCAUGUAAACGUUCUCCCCAGAAUGCCAACGCUUGCUCUGUAAGGCAUCCAGUAUGACUGUAACACCUAGAUUUGCCUCCAGACUCAGGCUUGCACCACAAUACUCCCCCAGUGCCUCACAAUACCUACCACGAAUGUAGAGUGGACGGACCUGCCCCACAAUGUCCAGACUUAGAAAACCAAGACAUGCCCUAUCGGCCACAGGUUCCACAAAGCAAAAAUCUCCCUGUUGCACAGCCCAACUCUACAUCAUAUAGUCACCCCCCCCCCACGGUAGGAACAGACCUCAAAUAUUCAGUCACAAAUUCAGUCUUGCCACACAACACUGACAGGUGUCUUACGACUCACACACGAGUUCCACGAUACCUAGACACAGCUAACUUACAAUGGACAGGUAUACGCUGUGACACAAAGGUUUCUCCCCGAAACACCAGAUUGCAUUCUGAUGCACAGAAUCCCCCCCAAACACACACACACAUGCACUCAUAGUGCCACAGGUGUUUACACUGACACAGAACUACGGGUGUAUCAGAAUCCCACAGACCAUACGUUCUUUCAGCCACAGCCAAAGACAUAUGUUUGCGCAAGUAUGAACAUAUAACCAGAGUUCCAGCAAGGACCACCUCAUGUUUAUGCAGAUACACGUAUACAUACACACAGAUGCAUACAAACACCCACAGUUUGGUGUGUAGGCACAAAGCAACAUGCAGUCACAGAUGCACACUCCACACUCGCACAGGCCCAGAGAAGCACGCAGAGACACAUGCAUGCCAACCUAGGCGUCCAGAGGAUGUGUUUACUGAUUCAUAACCUCAAAGAUGCAAGAACACAAAUGCAUGCACACACGCGCACACACACACACACACACACACACACACACACACACGGAAAGACGCAUAAAUGCUUCUAGAGGCUCAUGAGGUGUGGACUCAUCCUCAGACACCCCCAGACAUUUAUGGAGAAAUGUAGACAAGUACAUAUGAGCCCACACAGACACAUAGGCAUUUGCAUGUGUGCACACAGAGCCACAGGCAGGUGCAUGGAGUCAUCCGUAUGCAGACACAGGCGUAUGCAUGUUCAUUGCUACGCAGAGACAUAGAGACAUUUAUAAAAAACUGAAAUAUGGAGAUGUAUUCAUAAGGAGACACGUGUGUUUUAAACACGUAUCUGGCAUCUUUAUGCUCAUAGAGUCACAUGAAUUUACACACAGAGGCAAGUUGUUAUUAAAACACACCUGCAUACACAUGGUCCUGCCUGGACCUGCAACCUGGGUGCUCAUGCUGACCAUGAAAACCUAGAAACAUGCCCACAUGCACAUGUAUAGAAAUGUACCUGGGGAAGCACGUGGGGAUAUUCGUGCAUAUGGGUGUGCGUAUGGAACCACACAAGCAUGCCGUGUGCACACAUAGAUGCACUCGUACAUGGAGACAUACACAUGCACACAGACAAAACAGAGAUGGACCCAUGAAGACAUCUCUGCAUGAAUAUGAGCAGACACAUUUAGAGAGAGACGUUUAUAUACAGAGAGAGAUGCCUCCCGUGUAGAUACAGGGGAGAGGAGAGGGAGCGGGGAGACGGAGGUUGGUCGGCUUGGCAGAGACACUUUCUUAUGCAGAAGCUCACACCUACACACAGAGACACACAGGCCUAGAGACCCAUACGAAGAUGUGCACAGGCGAACACAGCUGCACUCACACACUCACUCAGAUGCACGAGAGGAGCAAAGUCACACACACACAUGCAGAAACUCAGGUAUAUUCACGGAGACCCAGGCAAGUGCACAGAGACAGAGAUGUACGUGGAUCCUCACCCAUACGGACUCACAAAGAUACAGACUCAGAAGCUUGUGCAGGUGCCUGCGGGGACAGGUACACAGGUUUGUACACUUACAGACAUUGAGCACGGAUGUACUGAUAGAUGAGGAGACCCACAGACAUACCUGAACAAACGCAGAGGCACACAGGGACCUCCAUGUGCUGCAGGUGCAGCCCUAAAAAGACAAAAAAAGAAAAA